Molecule: ribosomal RNA, 264 nt
Filed under: uncultured archaeon
Lineage: Archaea
Description: partial 16S ribosomal RNA
Rfam family: Archaeal small subunit ribosomal RNA
Source: RNAcentral
AGGGUGUAAACGCUGCAGACUUGGUGUUGGGAACCCUUCGGGGGUGCUCAGUGCCGGAGAGAAGUUGUUAAGUCUGCUACUUGGGGAGUACGUCCGCAAGGAUGAAACUUAAAGGAAUUGGCGGGGGGAGGCACCGCAACGGGAGGAGCGUGCGGUUUAAUUGGAUUCAACGCCGAAAAACUACGCCAGCAGCGACUGUUACAUGAAAGUCAGGUUGAUGACCUUACUAGAUUUUCAGAGAGGAGGUGCAUGGCGUCAGUGACU